CCACUUGAUCAGUUUUUAUGUCUAUUACUGGUGGUAGCGCCGGGUUUGUAUGUUUUGUUUUCUAAUGUGUUCAAAAUGUUUUUUUAUCUAUUUGAUAGUGGUUAGUAGUAGUAGUGUGUUACUUUGUUUUGUAGUUGCUUAGGUCAAAAAUAAAUAGCACAAAUGGUUUUCAUAGAUUAAUGCAAUAAAAAUAGAAUAAAUAGCUGAUAGUUGUAUCAAAGUAAAUAUAGUUAAACUUAAAACAUAAAGUAAAGUCGAUGAAAACUGUUGAGUGAUGCAUGAGAUAUGUUGAUUAAUAAUGUAAAUCUCCUAUUGUCUGAAUAAGUUGCUCAUACUCGAAAAUAACUAAUUGAUAGUCAGUUGAUUGGUAACGAUAUGGUUUGAUUACUGGCGUCUGUUCCCACUUUAUUUUUUUUUUUUCUUGAAAACAGUUACGGCAGUUGUUUCUAAUUGUUAUCACUGGUUCAAAUAAAGCACUGAUGGUUAU
RNAcentral lists this long non-coding RNA (487 nucleotides) under Brassica napus (rape). RNAcentral's name for it is "long non-coding RNA (BNAP_LNC009924)". Lineage: Eukaryota; Viridiplantae; Streptophyta; Magnoliopsida; Brassicales; Brassicaceae. The record is from RNAcentral.